This 1484-nucleotide unclassified non-coding RNA is filed under the name Dimorphilus gyrociliatus. RNAcentral's name for it is "innexin". The record is from RNAcentral. Lineage: Eukaryota; Metazoa; Annelida; Polychaeta; Dinophilidae.
AUUAUCAAAAAUUUGUGGACCGCGCAAAUACAACUAACAAAAAAAUAGCAUAAGAGGAAAGAUGUAUUAAAUUUUUUUUUUUAAAAAACAAAAUAUUAAAUCAGUAAACGUUUAAAGAAGGUAGAAAGUUUCGGAUUAACUGAGAGAAAGAUGUCAAGUGGUGUAAUUAAAGCUGCAUUUAAGAUUAUAGCUUUAAGAGGCAGGAAGAAUAAAUCGAGAAAUGAUGAAAUACAUUCUACAUCUGAUAAAAUAUCUUCAACAUAUACUGUAACAUUACUGCUUAUUUUUAACUUUUUCGUCACAAAGAGUCAGUACGUUGGUGAUCCAAUUGCUUGUUGGGCUCCGGCGUAUUUUGCUAGAAGUUGGAAGAAAUACGCAGAUAAUUAUUGUUGGGUUAAAGGAACUUAUCCAUUACCCUUUGAUGAAGAUAUCCCUCAAGAUGAAUUGUAUCGUGAAGAUAAAACGUUACGAUAUUAUCAAUGGGUUCCUUUGUAUUUGUUCGCUAUGUGUGUUUUCUUCUAUUUGCCAAGUUGUUUAUGGAGUUGGGUAAAUUCACAGUCAGGAGUGGCCCUAUCGCCUCUUAUCAAAGCCGCUAAAGAGUACCAAUCAACUGCAGAUGACAAGGAAUUAGAGGCGAUUUGCUUUUGUUUUGAGAAAUUUGUUAAUAAUCAACUAGCGAGAAAACACUGGAUUUUGCAGAUACUUUGCGUGUUAAGUAAUAGGGCUAGAGGAAAUUUUAUGAUAACGUGUUAUCUUAUAACUAAAGUAUUGUAUUUAGUAAGUUCUAUUGGUCAAUUUUUUCUGGUGAGCUACAUGCUGGGAUUUAAUCUUAGUUCAUAUUCUCUCAAGGCUCUUUAUGACAUGAGCAAUGGAAACGAUUUAGCAGAAUCAAAAUUUUUCCCUAGAGUAACAAUGUGUAAUUUCAAAGUUAGACGCCUCGGAACUAUAAAUGACGUCAAUUUACAAUGUGUAUUACCAAUUAAUUUGUUUAAUGAAAAAAUUUUCAUCUUUAUAUGGAUUUGGAUUAUUUUUGCAAUUGUUCUUCAAGCUUUCUCCUUUAUAAGAUGGCUCUUCCUUGCCUUAUCAUUUAUAGAUAGAAAGAGAUACGUUCAUAAUCUUCUAGAAGGGGUUAAAAACAAAGAUAAUCUAAAAGAUUUUUGUGAAUAUAUUCACAAGGAUGGAGCAUUAGUGCUAAAGAUGAUCAAUAGCAAUACAAACUCUUUAGUAACGUCCGAUAUAGCUAAAUUACUGUAUAAAAGAAAAUAUGAAGAGAUUAAUUCAAAUUCUAAUAAUCAAGAGGCGAUUGUUUAAGAACAAAAUAAAAAAGCGUCUAAUAGCAAAAAAAAACGGAUGUGACGAUAAUAUAAAAGUUCAUUUUUUAUUAUGUUAUUCUUUCUUUACCGUUAUCAUUCUGUUAAGGAUUCUAAAUAAAUAUUACAAAAUACCAAAAUCUAUUUAUUUAUCCUAGAUAACAAUUAUCUGCU